Molecule: ribosomal RNA, 478 nt
Filed under: uncultured bacterium
Lineage: Bacteria
Description: partial 16S ribosomal RNA
Rfam family: Bacterial small subunit ribosomal RNA
Source: RNAcentral
GAUGAACGCUAGCGGCAGGCCUAACACAUGCAAGUCGAGGGAGAAGCCCUUUCGGGGGCAGAAACCGGCGCACGGGUGCGUAACGCGUAUGCAACCUACCUUUCACAGGGGGAUAGCCCUAAGAAAUUUGGAUUAAUACCCCAUAAUAUUAUUGGAUGGCAUCAUUUGAUAAUUAAAACUGCGGUGGUGAAAGAUGGGCAUGCGUCCUAUUAGCUAGUUGGAGUGGUAACGGCACCCCAAGGCUACGAUAGGUAGGGGUCCUGAGAGGGAGAUCCCCCACACUGGUACUGAGACAGGGACCAGACUCCUACGGGAGGCAGCAGUGAGGAAUAUUGAUCAAUGGUCGGAAGACUGAACCAGCCAUGCCGCGUGCAGGAAGAAUGCCUUAUGGGUUGUAAACUGCUUUUAUAUGGGAAGAAUAAGGCGUACGUGUACGUUGAUGACGGUACCAUAUGAAUAAGCAUCGGCUAACUCCGUG